UACGGAGGUCCCUAGCGUUGUUCGGAUUUACUGGGCGUAAAGGGCGCGUAGGCGGCGCCGCAAGCCGAGUGUGAAAUCUCCGGGCUCAACCCGGAAAGUGCGCUCGGGACUGCGUCGCUGGAGGACGGGAGAGGGAAGGGGAAUAUAGGGUGUAGCGGUGAAAUGCGUUGAUAUCCUAUAGAACACCGGAGGCGAAGGCGCCUUCCUUGAACGUGACUGACGCUGAGGCGCGAAAGUCGGGGGAGCAAAC
This 250-nucleotide ribosomal RNA is filed under the name uncultured prokaryote. Its description in RNAcentral is "partial 16S ribosomal RNA". It matches the Rfam family "Bacterial small subunit ribosomal RNA", at positions 524 to 773 of the family's 1533-position model. The record is from RNAcentral.